Long non-coding RNA from Aquila chrysaetos chrysaetos, 1621 nucleotides. RefSeq lists it as uncharacterized. The record is from RefSeq and is a predicted model, not a curated record. The transcript is spliced from 3 exons. NCBI's taxonomy places the organism in Eukaryota, Metazoa, Chordata, Aves, Accipitriformes, Accipitridae.
GCCUCAGGGGCGGCCGUGCGGCCAGCCGCGGGCUUGGGCUGCUCUGGAGCAAGCUCUCAGGCGGCCCGUCCCGCUGCGAGCUGCUUUGGGAAGUCCUUCAUUAUUUUCCACCCCAUCCGCCCGCCCUGGAGGAAGAACCAGAGAUGCUUGUUUCAGAAUUCAAUUGUUCCAGCAAGAACAUCAGAAGACACUCUACUUUUUAGGAAGCCCCUACUGAGCAUGUGGAAAGUAUCACCAGCAUCAUAGUUCUUGAGGCUGGCUCAUUCACUUCUCUGUCCUGUUUUAUUUUUCCUUUUUCCAACACCAUUGGCCUUUUUUUUCCCUGUGUAGACUCUACAGUAACUCCUGAAAUGUCUAAAAUCAUAUGAACUGACAUACCUCUUUUUUCUUUUGUGACUUUUUCAUCAGUAUGAUACGUGUACAGCAACUCUUUCAAACGCUGCUGUAUCUCAGCAUCUUCCUCCUCAUCUUGCAAACAGCGACUCCUUCCUUCUGGUAGGCUUAACCUCUUCUCACCACUUCUGAUUUUGUGUAGUCCUGUUUUUUUUCCUAGAAGAAAAAUCCCCAUCUUAAUUUGUUCAUCUUUACUUGGACAUGGCUCCGCCUUGUACUCCUUCAAUCACCUGCUCCAUUUCUUCUCCUGACAGGAGAAGACCUCCUGCUUGCAUCCAGCUCACUUCACCUUUGUGUCUAAAGGCAGACUUUGCUCCUCUUUCCCUUCUGUCCCAGUUAUUCUCUGACAGUGGUUCCAGCAGCCUGGACGUGAAGGCCACAUACCUCCUGUAUCUUUACUCAUCUCAGCGUGUACUGUUUUUUAGCUCAGUACACACUGCUCAGGCAGAAGAGCAAUCAUAUUUUGCAGGGCAUGACUAGCGGUACUGCAGUUUCCACAGGUAGUCACUGGGAACACCAGCUGUCCCUGCAGUCCAGUCUCCAAGCACCAGUCUGGAGGCUGCAGCUGAAGUUCAGCAUCCCUUCUUCCCAGUUGUAGCCCUCAGAGGUCACUGAUACAAUUUUAGUACUCGAGACGGCACCUUACACAAAGUGUUACAAGAAUUGGCAAUCCUGGAUGUAACAGGGAGGGACCUUAGCUGCAAAGUUCAGGUUGUGGUGCAGAGCCACGGGCUGGAACAGGAGCGUUCAGAGUAAGGCUUUGGUUCACACCCAUUCCCCAUGCACAGCAUCUAUAGGAAGAAAGAAUCUUUAAAGCUCAUCGAAAUACAUCUGAAUGCAAGAAGAGAUUCCAAUGGUUUAAAGAUGUUUGAAAAUCCCAAAUGCAAAGCAAUUGUAGUUCAUUAUACUUCAUCACUUCCUCAUUUUUGUAUUUUUCAGUCUGCUUUUAAACUCACAAGCAUCUGAAAUCCAUAAAUUUUAUUUCUUUAUACUCAUUUAAACACUACUGCAGGUGCCAUUAAAAUAUCCAUACAUUGGAAAUCUCAGGAAACAUAGCUAUAUAAUAUGUUUAAAGAUUUAUAAUGGUGGAAUAGUAUAUAAAGGCAGAAUAGCCUGAAAACCGUAUUUUAGAAGUCUGUGGUUAUAAUGAAGAACCUUACCUGCGGUAAAGUAGUAGUGCAUUUUUUUAUCUUGUUUGCACAAGUAUGCUAGCUAAAUAUGUAAAUUA